RNAcentral lists this transfer RNA (912 nucleotides) under Synechococcus sp. MLCB. The stretch from base 257 to 329 matches the Rfam family "tRNA". The record is from RNAcentral. Lineage: Bacteria; Bacillati; Cyanobacteriota; Cyanophyceae; Synechococcales; Synechococcaceae.
CAGGGAGACAAAACCCGAUGUGGAUGCCUAGGUUAAACAAUCCGAGGCCCAUGUCCUGUCACCUUAGGUCGAUCGGUACCUCAAGAAGCCGCCGGAAGCCCGUGAGCAAUCAGGGGAAAGGAGGUCGAGCUUUUUCAGUUUCUAAACGUUGUCUAGGUCACCCCACAGCCUCUGGGCCAUUAGCUCAGGUGGUUAGAGCGCACCCCUGAUAAGGGUGAGGUCCCUGGUUCAAGUCCAGGAUGGCCCAUUCGUGAUUGGGGGUUUAGCUCAGUUGGUAGAGCGCCUGCUUUGCAAGCAGGAUGUCAGCGGUUCGAGUCCGCUAACCUCCAUGGAAGAAGUGGUGGGCUACCAANGCUGACCGCGAUCCGAGAGUUAGCGAGACGGAGAGCGACGGGGUGAUGGGGCCGCAAGAACCAAAGGUCCAAGGACCAAAGGUCUAGAGGCCAAAGGACAGGGUGAGAGGAGAUUACCAGGAAGGGAGAAGAUUCCAGCCUUGAGGAUCAGAGCCGCGAGGUGUGCUGAUGCUGAAUGCUGGAUUCACAAGGCCUUGGAUGUUACACCGUUGAGGUGUUGCAUCUGGAGGUGUUGCCGGAUCCCAGCGGAACCUUGACAACUGCAUAGGUAAGUCUGGAAACAAGCAUCUCAUGGAUGCCAGAUCCAGUGCCAGCCCAGGUUGGCUGUUGCAGCACCACCCGGCAAGCGAUUGCCGGGUGGUGRUGUGAUGGCGGAACUGGGGUUGGCAGUGGAUGUGGAAAUUCUAUUGAGUUUAGAGCCAACCCAUUGGCGCUUGAGCCGACGAAUCAACGCGGAGAGCUGGAGUUGAUGGGUCUUGGCACUGAGAGUGAUCUCAGUACUGAGGGUCAACAAGGAUGGUUUGAUGGGUGGAUUUUAGGAUCARGUGAGGAUGGGAUU